CAGACGUGCGCGGUUGGUAUUCAGCCUUACUUCGGUUUGGUGUAUUUGCCUUCCAUUGCAGGCCAGCAUCGGUUUAUCGUGCUGUAUAAGGGUGUUUGGAAUGUAGCUUCUUCGGGAGUGUUAUAGCCUUUCACUGGAUGCAGUGUUGUAGACCGAGGAACACAGCGCGCCGUAAGGCAGGUUCUCAGGACUUAAGCGCUUAGGAUGCUGGUAGAAUGGCUUUAAACGCCCGUCUUGAAACACGGACCAAGGAGUCUAACAUGUAUGCGAGUGUU
RNAcentral lists this ribosomal RNA (275 nucleotides) under Gigaspora sp. W2992. The record is from RNAcentral. Lineage: Eukaryota; Fungi; Glomeromycota; Glomeromycetes; Diversisporales; Gigasporaceae.